UGAUCCGGUGGUUCUGAAUGGAAGGGCCAUCGCUCAACGGAUAAAAGGUACUCCGGGGAUAACAGGCUGAUACCGCCCAAGAGUUCAUAUCGACGGCGGUGUUUGGCACCUCGAUGUCGGCUCAUCACAUCCUGGGGCUGAAGUAGGUCCCAAGGGUAUGGCUGUUCGCCAUUUAAAGUGGUACGCGAGCUGGGUUUAGAACGUCGUGAGACAGUUCGGUCCCUAUCUGCCGUGGGCGCUGGAGAACUGAGGGGGGCUGCUCCUAGUACGAGAGGACCGGAGUGGACGCAUCACUGGUGUUCGGGUUGUCAUGCCAAUGGCACUGCCCGGUAGCUAAAUGCGGAAGAGAUAAGUGCUGAAAGCAUCUAAGCACGAAACUUGCCCCGAGAUGAGUUCUCCCUGACCCUUUAA
Molecule: ribosomal RNA, 411 nt
Filed under: Shigella flexneri
Lineage: Bacteria; Pseudomonadati; Pseudomonadota; Gammaproteobacteria; Enterobacterales; Enterobacteriaceae
Description: partial 23S ribosomal RNA
Rfam family: Bacterial large subunit ribosomal RNA
Source: RNAcentral